CAGUAGCCGCGGGAAUACGGGGGGGGCAAGUGUUAUUCGGAAUGACUGGGCGUAAAGGGCACGUAGGCGGUGAAAAGGGUGGAAAGUGAAAGUCGCCAAAACACUGGCGGGGUGCUUUCUUGACCAUUUCACUUGAGUGAGAUAGGGGAGAGUGGAAUUUCGUGUGGAGGGAUCAAAUCCUAAGAUAUACGAAGGAACGCCAACCGCGAAGGCAGCUCUCUGGGUCCCCACUGACGCUGGGGUGCGAAAGCAUGGGGAGCAAACAGGAUCAGAGACCCCCGUAGUCCCUGUCUCUUAUACA
This 301-nucleotide ribosomal RNA is filed under the name uncultured bacterium. Its description in RNAcentral is "partial 16S ribosomal RNA". It matches the Rfam family "Bacterial small subunit ribosomal RNA", at positions 509 to 808 of the family's 1533-position model. The record is from RNAcentral.